GUCCACGCCCUAAACGAUGGAUACUAAGUGUCGGCGGGUUACCGCCGGUGCCGCACCUAACGGAGUAAGUAUCCCGCCUGGGGAGUACGGCCGCAAGGUUGAAACUCAAAGGAAUUGACGGGGGCCCGCACAAGCGGUGGUGCAUGUGGUUUAAUUCGACGCAACGCGAAGAACCUUACCCAGGCUUGACAUGCUGGUUUUAAGAACCGGAAACGGCAAUGAACCCGCAAGGGUAGCCAGCACAGGUGCUGCAUGGCUGUCGU
RNAcentral lists this ribosomal RNA (263 nucleotides) under uncultured bacterium. RNAcentral describes it as "partial 16S ribosomal RNA". It matches the Rfam family "Bacterial small subunit ribosomal RNA", at positions 793 to 1055 of the family's 1533-position model. The record is from RNAcentral.